UCAAAUACAUCCAGAAAAAUUAUAGGAAGCGCUGUAUGUCAAGUGCCCAGCAAAUAGGAGCUCAAUAAGCAGUGGGCAAGGCUACUAAUAGCACUGCUAAAGUCACAGCUGGCCUGUUGUCCUUAAAGCCCCAGGGUAGCCCCCAAAGCCCCCUAAUCCCCAAGGGAGCUGACAACGUUUUAUUUACAUUUGUGGUUACCAAUGACUUGUAACAUUGUUUCCUUGGGGAAUUGCUCUGUAUUCUAAAUUCUCUGUGGAGACCCCGGAACUCCUCCCACCUCACCAAGGAAGAGGAGGAAAGUCUUCCAUGGUGGGAAGAAGGUCACAGGGUCAGGGGCGCAGAUACUCUUAAAUACCAGUUAGUGAAAACGGCACAUCAGUGUGAAAAGGCUUACUCCUUGGAAAACUGCUCCCGAGGAUUAUCUGCUAUGUGCCAAGAGAUGCCCUACUUAUUAGAUUGUAUCCUUUAAUCUCGACAACAGUUCUGGGCUUGACUGACUCCUUUUGCAGAUGGGACCCCUAAGGUUCAAGGAGGAAAAGUCUUGCUCUCAAGAUCACUUGGCUAGAGCCUGGGGGAGACCAGACUGGAAUUCAAGUCUGUUUGGCCCCAGAGCCUGUGAUCGUUCCUUAACUUUGCCACAAUGCCUUCAGGUGUCUGAAAAAUGAAGCCAGGUGUCUCGUCAUUUGCAAGUCAGAUAUCUUUAAGCUAGGAUGCCUCUCUGUGUCCCCUCCUGCAGUUAUCUGCCUAAAAGCAGCUCAACCAUGUGACACUGCCUUGAAAAUCCUUCUUGUUUUCACCCUGCAGGCAGAGCCGACAGCCCGCGGAGCAGGAAGCCUGAUUCCCAACCAGGCUCAUUGCUGUGUGUCUGUAAUUAAGGCCCUUGACAUCUCUGAACCUCAUUCUGCAGUUUCAGACAUCCAGGCCAGGCACCGGGCCUUCCCUCCUUCACAAGGCAGAGGGUACAAUGAGCUCACAUCCAGCGGCAUGCCCAGGGACUGGCAGAGAGCCAGCAUCCUACAAAUCCACAGGUAAAGACGGUUCCUGUUUCCACAACAGAGUCUCCACGCUGCCUCCCACUUUCAAACCAGAAACUCUCGAGUAGACAGAGAUGCCUUGUGAUCCAAUGAAGCCUGGCCCUGCCCAAAGAUCACCACUCUGCCCAUCCUAGGGGAUCCAGAAAUGCUUCUGAAUUUGUCCUCUGAGGACCUGGACCACGUCAAGAUUUGGAUGUUCAUUGGGAAGCUGUACUAGUCUGUUCUCACGUUGCUAAUAAAGACAUACCCAGGGCCAGGCAAGGUGGCUCACGC
This 1308-nucleotide long non-coding RNA is filed under the name Homo sapiens (human). Its description in RNAcentral is "HSALNT0290545". The record is from RNAcentral. Lineage: Eukaryota; Metazoa; Chordata; Mammalia; Primates; Hominidae.